RNAcentral lists this ribosomal RNA (327 nucleotides) under uncultured soil bacterium. RNAcentral's name for it is "bacterial SSU rRNA". It matches the Rfam family "Bacterial small subunit ribosomal RNA", at positions 26 to 356 of the family's 1533-position model. The record is from RNAcentral.
AGAUUGAACGCUGGCGGCAUGCCUUACACAUGCAAGUCGAACGGCAGCACGGGAGCAAUCCUGGUGGCGAGUGGCGAACGGGUGAGUAAUAUAUCGGAACGUGCCCAGUCGUGGGGGAUAACGCAGCGAAAGCUGUGCUAAUACCGCAUACGAUCUAUGGAUGAAAGCGGGGGAUCGCAAGACCUCGCGCGAUUGGAGCGGCCGAUAUCAGAUUAGCUAGUUGGUGGGGUAAAAGCCUACCAAGGCGACGAUCUGUAGCUGGUCUGAGAGGACGACCAGCCACACUGGAACUGAGACACGUCAGACUCCGUACGGGAGCGAGCGAGG